CCCUUAGAUGUUCUGGGCCGCACGCGUGCUACACUGAGUGGAUCAGCGGGUCAGGUUGCGCGAAAGUGUUUCCUAAUCUUGAAAUCCGCUCGUGAUGGGGAUUGACGGUUGCAAUUUUCCGCCAUGAACGAGGAAUACCUUGUAAGCGCGGGUCAUCAUCCCGCGCUGAAUACGUCCCUGCCCUUUGUACACACCGCCCGUCGCUCCUACCGAUUGAGUGGUCCGGUGAGGCUUUGGGAUCUGAGCAAAGAGAGCGUUUCGCUCGUUUUGCCCGGAAAACUCAGUCGAACCUUAUCAUUUAGAGGAAGGAGAAGUCGUAACA
This 322-nucleotide ribosomal RNA is filed under the name uncultured eukaryote. RNAcentral describes it as "partial 18S ribosomal RNA". It matches the Rfam family "Eukaryotic small subunit ribosomal RNA", at positions 1470 to 1796 of the family's 1831-position model. The record is from RNAcentral.